RNAcentral lists this ribosomal RNA (423 nucleotides) under uncultured bacterium. Its description in RNAcentral is "bacterial SSU rRNA". It matches the Rfam family "Bacterial small subunit ribosomal RNA", at positions 355 to 775 of the family's 1533-position model. The record is from RNAcentral.
UGAGGAAUAUUGGUCAAUGGGCGCAAGCCUGAACCAGCCAUCCCGCGUGAAGGAAGAAGGCGCUAUGCGUUGUAAACUUCUUUUCCAGGGGGAGAAUUUUUCCGUCGUGACGGGAAUUGACGGUACUCUGGGAAUAAGCAUCGGCUGACUCCGUGCCAGCAGCCGCGGUAAUACGGAGGAUGCGAGCGUUAUCCGGAUUUAUUGGGUUUAAAGGGUGCGUAGGCGGAUUGAUAAGUCAGUGGUGAAAACCUGCAGCUUAACUGUAGACUUGCCGUUGAUACUGUCAGUCUUGAGUGUGGUCAAGGUAGGCGGAAUGUGUAAUGUAGCGGUGAAAUGCUUAGAUAUUACACAGAACACCGAUUGCGAAGGCAGCUUACUGGGCCAUUACUGACGCUGAUGCACGAAAGCGUGGGGAUCGAACAG